UUGUGGCUGUGGUAACUAGUGACAACCCAAUAGAGUUGAGACAUUUGAGAUCGAGGAUGCUGAUGCAAUAUCAGUUACGGACAAGAUUGAAGAUAAUGCGACUCCAUUUUUACCAACAGUAUGAUCCCAGUUUUGAAGUGCUGGACAGGAAGACCUUGAAAGGGCUGCCCGACUGCAAGAAGAGGCUGGCCGAGAUGAAGGCUAAAUUGCAAGAACUUUCCUUUGAAGAAAGGGGAGAUGUGCUGGAGCUGGCUGCUUUUCAUCUACCUGCCUGGAGUGAUUUUUGACAUCAUGGAGUACCGGAGAGCUAUCUCAGGGUCUCCUGACAACCUCGCUGGUGCACCUGCAUGAAUUGCAGGGAGACUCCUGCACCUUACAAUACACAACUGCUGCCAUUUCACCACUGUAAUAUUCAAAUUAUUUAUUAGCAAGUACGUUUACAUAACAGGUUAACACUUUCCACAACUACACUGUACUUUAUUCUUCAUUUAGAUCCCAAUUAGGAAAAAUACUCAAUUUAGUGAUAUUUUUGUAAGUCGAUUUUUGUGUGAAUUUUUCCUUGGUCUGGGUGAUAUCAGUUGAGUACUUUAUCAGAAUGUUUCUCACCAAAGCAUGUGAGCGGAGUUGAGCGGUUUGAAAUCCCACUCAUCGCUCAUGGAGCGGUUUCGCACUGCUCCAGCCCUCCAUUUCCUUUCCAACCACUCCGCUAAAGACUGCUCUGCACUCACAGGAAAAUAAAAAACUCAUCAUGCAAAUCUUUUUCACAACCGAGAGGACAACUAACACUUACAUCUUGUUGCACAACGCAUUCGCCAAUACUGGACGAUGGUUACAAAGGUUGUAGUCAAGUGCUGCCAGUAGGGUUCCAGCCUCAUUGACUGGAGACGGAAAAGCAAACCACAUGUAUCAAGGGAUGACACAGAGACCUCUGAGCAAGACAGUGAGCCAGAGCUGCCAGGAGAUGUCAUCGACCCCCUUCCAACUGCAUCAAGCACCAGAUAUGCUGUUCCAAAAGGACCCAAUGACAUUUCAAGAUCCAGAGAAGAGGGUCCUGUACAGCCGUGUUUGAAAACAUUUCCCAGAACUCAGCAUGGUACUAGGAAAGGGGCUUUCAACAGCUCCUGGUUUAAGGACAAUUCAUGGCUUGAAAAUUCUGUAAGUCAAGAUUCAACAUAUUGUUUCGCCUGUAGACAUUUUUCUCUGCCCAAUACACCUGAUUCUGCCUUCACAUCACAGUCAGGUUUUUGUAACUGGAAAAGGGUGCUGUUUAAAGAUUCUGGGUUAAAGCUCCAUUCGAAGGCAGAGCAUCAUAUCAAUGCUAUGUAUGCUUGGAAUCAGCAUAAAAGGGCUAUUGACAGCAACUUAUCAAUGUUAGAUGUCAUAAAUGAGGACCGGAAAAAGGAGGAAAACUGUACUUACAUUAAAACAAUUACAGAUGUGCUCCUGUUAACUGCCACUCAAAAUACAGCGCAGAGAGGUUAUUGAGAGUCUGAUGACUCUCACAACAAGGGUCAUUUUUUUGACAAUCUUAGAAGGAAUAGCAAAGAAUGACCCUCUCAUAGAGAAAAGGAUGAAUGCAUAUGGCAAUGCUAAGUACACAAGCCACCAAAUCCAGAAUGAAGUUCUUGAGGGCUUAGCUGAGAUGGUACAUCGUGAAAUAAUAAGACAAGUAAAAGAAAUGGAAGUUUUUAGUGUAAUUGCAGAUGAAACCAAAGAUUGAAAGAACAAAUGUCUUUAGUUGUGAGGUACUAUUACAACGGAACCAUCCACGAAAGCUUUCUACACUUUCAGUCAGCUGAAAGCUUAGAUGCAGCAGGCCUCAAAAAUUAUAAUUGAUUGCCUUGAAAAACAUGGUCUGGACUACAGAAAUAAUCUUGUGGGGCAAGGCUAUGACGGUGCAUCCGUCAUGAGCGGAAAGCAUUCUGGUGUGUCUGCAUGGAUUAAAAACAGUGCAAGAUUUGCAUUUUAUGUGCACUGUAAUGCACAUUGUUUGAAUUUGGUUCUUGUCGAUGCUGUAAAAUCAGUGCCUGAGGCAGUUAACUUUUUUGCUCUCCGGCAGAAGCUUUAGAACUUUGUAUUUGGCUCGUACGUUCAUCUCAAGUGGCUUGCAGUUCAGAAAGAGCAGUAUCCACAGCAGCAGCCCAGGGAACUACAGAGAUUUACGGAUGUAAGGUGGGCAUGCAUGACGUAAUCUGAGGGACAGGCUUCCAGCAGUUCUGAGAGUGCUAUAGAAUAUCACACUUGAAAAUAGUGGUGAUAGAUCAGUGGAGGCAAGGGGACCUUCUUUCUCAGAUAGAUUUACAUUUCAUAGGGCUUUUGGUUACCUUCUGUCAAGUGCUUGGUGAUGCCAAAUGUCUUUCUGACAUGCUCCAAUCAAGCUCUUUUGACCAAGCAAGGGCUGUGGAUCUAGUAGGUGCCCUUACAGACACAUUACAGGACUACAGAAGUGAGGGUUACUUUGGAGAAGUAUGGAAAGAGGUUGAAGAGAUUGCAGAGCACUGCAAAAUAAGUGUACAAACAGUGUGUAAAAGACAGCCUAAAACAAGCUUAAGAUUUCACGACUCAUUGAUGAUGAGCACUGUAGGACAGAAAAAUUGUGACCAAAGUGAUGGUGAGAGCUUCCAAAGAGCUAUCUUUUAUCAGGUGCUUGACAGUCUCACAGCUGAGGUGCAGAGGCGUUUUCAAAGAAGAAUUGCAACAUAAUGCAAGGGGUCCAGUCUCUCAACCCAAAGAGUACAACAUUCUUCAAUGAGGAGACUCUGUUUGCCUUUGCUCAGACCUUUGAGUCAGAUUUAGAGGACCUCAAACAUGAGGUUCAUCAAACCAAGCGGCUUCUUGAUAGGACAGAGAAAAGUGGAAGGGACAGACCGUCUACUCUCUUUGACUUUUUUGUGUUUCUAGAACCUUAUAAAGAGGUCUUCCAUGAGCUAUUUCGACUUUGUAAGGUUUCUGUUGUUACAUCAGUCAGCAGUGCUUCUUGCGAGAGAAGCUUCUCAGCUUUAAUACUGAUUAAAACCCACCUUAGGACAACAAUGGUUGAUGACAGAUUAAGUCACCUUGGAAUUCUCAGUGUUGAGUCAAGGAGGGCACGCUCCCUCGACAUGGAUGAGUUUGUGAAACAUUUUGCCAGGACUCACCAGAAAUUACCUAGGAUAAUUUGGCACUUAGGCGGUCCCGCUGGUCAUGAUUAAAACCUGCACUGUGUACUAGCUAGUACACUGACAUUCUAAAAUGAUACAUCCAAAGGGUAUCAUGUCACACAGAUUUCAUUUGGUCUUGAUUAGGCCAAUUCCAAAACUUUCCUUUGCUAUUAGUUAGCAUAAUAUAUAUGAGCAUAAAUAUGAUACUGUAAGUUUAAUAUUGAUGGGCACCAAAAUAAUUUGUAUUUUUCCAAGUCCAUUUAUGCUUAAUACCUGGAAUGUCAAAUUGCAGUGUGUUUUAUUUGUAAAUGUACUUUUUUUGUAAAUAAACUAUGCAAUUUAUG
This 3484-nucleotide long non-coding RNA is filed under the name Salmo salar (Atlantic salmon). Its description in RNAcentral is "lncRNA (ENSSSAG00000098623.1, ENSSSAG00000113591.1)". The record is from RNAcentral. Lineage: Eukaryota; Metazoa; Chordata; Actinopteri; Salmoniformes; Salmonidae.